GGCAAAGCUUAUAGAUGUGUUUACAGAUGAGUACAGCCAAAAUUCUGCCACUUGAUUUGGGCCUGCUUUUGUUUGGUGAAAUUGCAAAUAGAAUCUGAAAAUGUUUGUUGUGGAAGAUAUUUGUAGGAAUUGUUGUAUUUGAUACUUUUCCUUUUUAAGUAGAAACAAUAUAAAGAGCUUAAUUGAGAACAGAACAAAUCUCAGUGUUGUUUCUGUGUUUGUAUAAAACUACACUGCUCUGCUCUACAUUUGCUGUUAAACUGUUUAUAAUAGUUAAAAUGUCAUUCCAGAGGAGAGUUUGGCUUAGGACUUCUUUUCUUAGGCAGAGAAAGCCAUUUUAUUCCAUGUAUGGACCUGAUCUCUCAAAGCUAUUUUAGUGAGUAGCUAGAAAAUGUUUUUUAGUGAGGCAUGAUUUUACUUGUGUUUACGUGCAUUGGCCAGUUUAAUGAGGGAGCCACACUGUUCUGCAAUUCUGCUCUGUAUUGUUUCAGUGAAAAGCUAGGCUUUUUUAGGUGCACCCUGGAUUAUGUGUUUUUUAAAUGCUUUAAAAUAAAACCACAUCUUGAAAUAACUGUAUUCUCAGUUUAGCUACUGAAGGAUGAAACCCUUCUGUGCCUAGAAGAGACUCCGUUAAAAAAUUACAUCCCCAGUUGAUGUUAAUCAACAUUGUCUUUAACAGAACCAAGCCAUUUUUAAACCAUUGCAGGCACUGAUUCCAACUUUCACCUCAGCCUCCAGAAAAGCAUUAAUUUCUCUUGUUUAGAGCACAGUGACAGAGGAGAGUGAAGAAUAUCCACUGGUUCUACAGUGCAAUCAGAAACCUUUCUGUAAGCUUUCAUCCUUUGGACUAUGGCAGAUCUGCAAAAAUUGGAUUGUAAGGAUAUGGGAUAGAACUGUACAACUCUGGGAAUGGCAGCUGGGUAUUUGCUCCCAGGACAGCUUCCCAAAGGGAAGGAUCCCCAGAGGGUGGGGAUUUGUCUCUGGAAUUAAAGGGCAAAUUGCACCUCUGACAAGACAUGCAUCCUUUGUGUUGAGACUACUGACUGCUGACAUCUGUUGUUAUAAUCUUUAUACUUUAAGUGAUCUGGAGUCAGAUUUUCAAGGUAUUUAUUUGCUUAAGAGCCAUUAGACUCUA
Molecule: long non-coding RNA, 1135 nt
Filed under: Lonchura striata (white-rumped munia)
Lineage: Eukaryota; Metazoa; Chordata; Aves; Passeriformes; Estrildidae
Description: domestica (Bengalese finch) lncRNA (ENSLSDG00000005602.1)
Source: RNAcentral